This is a long non-coding RNA of Balaenoptera musculus (blue whale), 562 nucleotides long. RefSeq lists it as uncharacterized. NCBI's taxonomy places the organism in Eukaryota, Metazoa, Chordata, Mammalia, Artiodactyla, Balaenopteridae. The record is from RefSeq and is a predicted model, not a curated record. The transcript is spliced from 3 exons.
AGAAGAACAAGACACCAAAUCCACUGGAUAGGAUGAACUGUCCAAGGGGCUGCUCCCCACCGGCCACUCAACGUGGAUUCAGCAGCAGAAGCUCCUGCAGACCACGCCAAUGGUCCUCCAGUUUCCGGCAGAGGUUGUCAGCAGAGGAGAAUGAUGACGGGCACUCUAAAUGAGAGGUAAUCAGUCUUAUGACAGCUGUGGUGACAAAAGAAAGGGACUUUCCAUCUCCGAGGGACCAAUAGCCUGAGACCCAGAGAAGAAGGGGAGAAGACUUGUCUGUGUGAGGGUGACUAUAAGGUCACAAAGGAAGAAGUCACUUCUACCACAAGGAAAGGAGUUUGAUCAAGAAGGUCUUCAAAGGAGAAAUGAUGCUGAGGAAGGGGGCUCCUGAAUGAACAGUGUGUUCCUGUUGCAUGUCACGGGCCAGAACAUUCCUGGCUGGGGCACAACACUCGGGACACUUGGGCACAAAUAGUUCUGUAGGGACCAUCCUGGGGGGUGGGCGGGACACCCAGGGUGGGCUCCUGUUCUCUGAGGCAGCUCUUGGAGUCCUCAGGUCCCU